This 29-nucleotide ribosomal RNA is filed under the name Thysanoglossa jordanensis. RNAcentral's name for it is "partial large subunit ribosomal RNA". Lineage: Eukaryota; Viridiplantae; Streptophyta; Magnoliopsida; Asparagales; Orchidaceae. RNAcentral also lists the same sequence under 7 other names. The record is from RNAcentral.
GUGACCCCAGGAUGGGCGAGGCCACCCGC